Molecule: non-coding RNA, 376 nt
Organism: Arachis ipaensis
Lineage: Eukaryota; Viridiplantae; Streptophyta; Magnoliopsida; Fabales; Fabaceae
Source: RefSeq, a predicted model, not a curated record
UAGAAAAAUGUCAACCUGAUAUACUCCAGGGAAUACCUUUUGACUAAGGCUGAGGUCAUUCUCUAAUUGCUCUAUCCUCUCAUCUUUUGCCUGAAUAGAUAACAAGCCAAUAUUAGAUUGCGGAAACUGAAAUAGGUAAUAUCACAAGAUACAGAACAUCCUUAAUCUUAUUAUUUGAGCUUUCUGCUAAAAACUUGGGAGUGUAGACAUCCUUAAUCUUGCUAUUCUUAUCAGAGAAUGAUGCAGAUAUGUAGAUAUUGAAAACAAGUAUGCUUGACCUUCUUUUCAGCUUCUUCCUUGGCAAAUCUUUCGUGAGAAAUGUAUACACCAUUCUUUUCCCUAGCAGCCCGCACAUCUGCAUUCAUUUUGGAAAAAA